GACGAACGCUGGCGGCGUGCCUAAUACAUGCAAGUAGAACGCUGAAGCGAGGAGCUUGCUCUUCUUGGAUGAGUUGCGAACGGGUGAGUAACGCGUAGGUAGCCUGCCUUGUAGCGGGGGAUAACUAUUGGAAACGAUAGCUAAUACCGCAUAACAAUGGAUGACACAUGUCAUUUAUUUGAAAGGGGCAAUUGCUCCACUACAAGAUGGACCUGCGUUGUAUUAGCUAGUAGGUGAGGUAAUGGCUCACCUAGGCGACGAUACAUAGCCGACCUGAGAGGGUGAUCGGCCACACUGGGACUGAGACACGGCCCAGACUCCUACGGGAGGCAGCAGUAGGGAAUCUUCGGCAAUGGGGGCAACCCUGACCGAGCAACGCCGCGUGAGUGAAGAAGGUUUUCGGAUCGUAAAGCUCUGUUGUAAGUCAAGAACGGGUGUGAGAGUGGAAAGUUCACACUGUGACGGUAGCUUACCAGAAAGGGACGGCUAACUACGUG
RNAcentral lists this ribosomal RNA (497 nucleotides) under uncultured bacterium. RNAcentral's name for it is "partial 16S ribosomal RNA". It matches the Rfam family "Bacterial small subunit ribosomal RNA", at positions 28 to 507 of the family's 1533-position model. The record is from RNAcentral.